AAUUGAAAAAACACUUUGGUCAUAUACCCGAACCCAUACCGAAUUCGAGAGUGAUAGACCAAAGGGCCACAGAUACUGGUCUAUAGCCGGGAAACAUGGUCAGA
This 104-nucleotide ribosomal RNA is filed under the name Schizocladia ischiensis. The record is from RNAcentral. Lineage: Eukaryota; Schizocladiophyceae; Schizocladiales; Schizocladiaceae.